CCUACGGGAGGCAGCAGUGAGGAAUAUUGGUCAAUGGACGAGAGUCUGAACCAGCCAAGUAGCGUGAAGGAUGACUGCCCUAUGGGUUGUAAACUUCUUUUAUAUGGGAAUAAAAUGUUCCACGUGUGGGAUUUUGUAUGUACCAUAUGAAUAAGGAUCGGCUAACUCCGUGCCAGCAGCCGCGGUAAUACGGAGGAUCCGAGCGUUAUCCGGAUUUAUUGGGUUUAAAGGGAGCGUAGGUGGAUUGUUAAGUCAGUUGUGAAAGUUUGCGGCUCAAACGUAAAAUUGCAGUUGAAACUGGCAGUCUUGAGGACAGUAGAGGUGGGCGGAAUUCGUGGUGUAGCGGUGAAAUGCUUAGAUAUCACGAAGAACUCCGAUUGCGAAGGCAGUUCACUGGACUGCAACUGACACUGAGGCUCGAAAGUGUGGGUAUCAAACAGGAUUAGAUACCCUAGUAGUC
This 460-nucleotide ribosomal RNA is filed under the name uncultured bacterium. Its description in RNAcentral is "partial 16S ribosomal RNA". It matches the Rfam family "Bacterial small subunit ribosomal RNA", at positions 338 to 795 of the family's 1533-position model. The record is from RNAcentral.